This 473-nucleotide ribosomal RNA is filed under the name uncultured bacterium. Its description in RNAcentral is "SSU rRNA". It matches the Rfam family "Bacterial small subunit ribosomal RNA", at positions 26 to 518 of the family's 1533-position model. The record is from RNAcentral.
AGAUUGAACGCUGGCGGCGUGCCUAACACAUGCAAGUCGAGCGGUAACAGGUGUAGCAAUACACGCUGACGAGCGGCGAACGGGUGAGUAAUGCUUUGGAAUCUUCCCAGUAGUGGGGAAUAACCAGUCGAAAGAUUGGCUAAUACCGCAUACGUCUGUAAAGGGAAAGCGGGGGCUCGUAAGACCUCGCGCUAUUGGAUGAGCCAAAGUCGGAUUAGCUUGUUGGUGGGUAAUGGCCUACCAAGGCGACAAUCCGUAGCUGGUCUGAGAGGACGACCAGCCACACCGGAACUGAGACACGGUCCGGACUCCUACGGGAGGCAGCAGUGGGGAAUAUUGGACAAUGGGCGAAAGCCUGAUCCAGCAAUGCCGCGUGGGUGAAGAAGGUCUUCGGAUUGUAAAGCCCUUUCGACGGGGACGAUGAUGACGGUACCCGUAGAAGAAGCCCCGGCUAACUUCGUGCCAGCAGCCGC